This 421-nucleotide ribosomal RNA is filed under the name uncultured bacterium. Its description in RNAcentral is "bacterial SSU rRNA". It matches the Rfam family "Bacterial small subunit ribosomal RNA", at positions 356 to 774 of the family's 1533-position model. The record is from RNAcentral.
GAGGAAUAUUGGGCAAUGCCCGCAAGGGUGACCCAGCAACGCCGCGUGGAGGAUGAAUGUCGUAAGAUUGUAAACUCCUGUUAGAGGGGAAGAAUAGUACCGGUUGGACCGGUAUAUGACUGUACCCUCAGAGAAAGCCCCGGCUAACUACGUGCCAGCAGCCGCGGUAAUACGUAGGGGGCAAGCGUUAUCCGGAUUUACUGGGCGUAAAGCGCACGCAGGCGGCUCUGUUAGUCGGACGUGAAAGCUCUCGGCUUAACCGGGAGAGGCCGUUCGAUACUGCGGGGCUUGAGGUAGGGAGAGGAAUGCGGAAUUCCCGGUGUAGUGGUGGAAUGCGUAGAUAUCGGGAGGAACACCUGUGGCGAAAGCGGCAUUCUGGCCCUCACCUGACGCUGAGGUGCGAAAGCGUGGGUAGCAAACA